UAUAAAGCGACGAAGAGGAUAAGUAAUCUUAAGAGAGAAUCUUUCACAGAGAGCCGGGGUAGCUGGAAGCCGGUAGAUUUACUUAAGAUGAACUCACCUCAGAGUGUUAGUCUGAAAUAGUUAGAGUAGGGCUAACCGGGUGGUUGACACACAGACACUCGUUAUUAAAACGAAUGCUUGAAAAAAGCAUUCAUGAGGCAGCGCAAAUUUGCUGUAAAUAAGGGUGGUACCGCGUAAAGUAAAGUCUUUUCGCCCCUUAA
This 260-nucleotide non-coding RNA is filed under the name Priestia endophytica. RNAcentral describes it as "Bacillus endophyticus T-box sequence". It matches the Rfam family "T-box leader". From Rfam's summary of the family: Uncharged tRNA acts as the effector for transcription antitermination of genes in the T-box leader family. T-boxes are found upstream of many aminoacyl-tRNA synthetase genes and some amino acid biosynthetic genes usually in Gram-positive bacteria. Lineage: Bacteria; Bacillati; Bacillota; Bacilli; Caryophanales; Bacillaceae. The record is from RNAcentral.